GAUGAACGCUGGCGGCGUGCCUAAUACAUGCAAGUCGAGCGAACGGACGAGAAGCUUGCUUUUCUGAUGUUAGCGGCGGACGGGUGAGUAACACGUGGAUAACCUACCUAUAAGACUGGGAUAACUUCGGGAAACCGGAGCUAAUACCGGAUAAUAUUUUGAACCGCAUGGUUCAAAAGUGAAAGACGGUCUUGCUGUCACUUAUAGAUGGAUCCGCGCUGCAUUAGCUAGUUGGUAAGGUAACGGCUUACCAAGGCAACGAUGCAUAGCCGACCUGAGAGGGUGAUCGGCCACACUGGAACGGAGACCCGGCCCAGACUCCUACGGGAGGCAGCAGGAGGGAAUCUUCCGCAAUGGGCGAAAGCCUGACGGAGCAACGCCGCGUGAGUGAUGAAGGUCUUCGGAUCGUAAAACUCUGUUAUUAGGGAAGAACAUAUGUGUAAGUAACUGUGCACAUCUUGACGGUACCUAAUCAGAAGGCCACGGCUAACUACGUG
This 497-nucleotide ribosomal RNA is filed under the name uncultured bacterium. RNAcentral's name for it is "partial 16S ribosomal RNA". It matches the Rfam family "Bacterial small subunit ribosomal RNA", at positions 28 to 507 of the family's 1533-position model. The record is from RNAcentral.